GCCGAUUUAAAAGAAAAGCCUUUGCAUCAUAUAAGCAAUAAAAAUAAGUGCUGGACUAUUUAUUAACUCUAUACUCGCUACCGACAUUUCCAUCUUCAUGAUUAACAUCUGAGUUGCAUUCAAAUUACCAAAUUCAAAAGACCCGCCUUCGGUGAAGACAACAUUUGUGGUGCUUAUAUACACAUAUAAAGAGAUUAUAUCAGAGGAUAGACAACUUCAUUUGGAGCCCUUUCAGUGUUUGUGAUUCUGAAUAAUAGAUCCACCACUGUGCUGAUUCUGUAGUGAACAAAUGUUGUAAUUAUAUGGUUUUGCAGAAUCAUAAAUAAGCAGUGAUAUCAAUGAGUUCCGGAUUAUUCUUUAAGAAGAAUGGAUUUCAGUGAUUUUGUUCUUACAAAAUUCAGUGA
Molecule: long non-coding RNA, 404 nt
Organism: Saccostrea cuccullata (small rock oyster)
Lineage: Eukaryota; Metazoa; Mollusca; Bivalvia; Ostreida; Ostreidae
Exons: 3
Source: RefSeq, a predicted model, not a curated record